Molecule: long non-coding RNA, 1512 nt
Organism: Cyprinus carpio carpio
Lineage: Eukaryota; Metazoa; Chordata; Actinopteri; Cypriniformes; Cyprinidae
Source: Ensembl
CCAAACCUGAAUGACUUUCUUUCUUCUGUUCUGUGGAACACAAAAUGGAUAUUUUGAAUAAUGUACUAGUCACUGUUUUUACGGAUAAGAUGGAUAAGAACUGAUCAAAGGAAACUAAAGGCCUACUUUGCAGUGCUGAUAAGCUCUCUUUAAGCACAAGAACUAUGUUCAUUUUUGCUGUUUAGAAAGGAGAACAUCUGUUUUAGUUAGUUAAUGUUUUCGGACCACAGAGGAUGUGGUAACGGUUUCAGACACUGUUAUUUAACCACCACAGAAUGUGGCAGGAAACGAUAGCGCUUCGCUGAUGGCAACAAAGAAAUUUUGAGUCAUGAGAGAUCCGAAGUCCAUACACAAGAUCUUCUGGAUCAUGGAAUUUCUGCCUUUCGCUUAAAAUAUAUUUAUGUGUUCUGUUAUAAGGGAGAAAACAAACUUUGCAGGGUCUUCAUGCUCAGUUAUGUGGUACCUGUCCAUAGUAUUUACCUUCACAGUAUAUGGAACCCAUGGUUGUGUGAUAACCAGUCCAGACCAGAAGGCUAAUGCUGGGACAGAUGUCCAUUUGUCGUGUAAUUUCUGGCAAUGUCCUGGACCUCUGGACAUCAUGUCUCUUAGUGUGGAGUGGGAAUUCAAGCACUGACCAGGAGAAACAAUCCAGGUGUAAAUCAUCUGCAGAAACGUCCUCCCUGGUUGCUGCCCCUGGCCUCAGUGGCAUCAGUGGCUGGGUUUGUGUUACUAAUUGGUACAGUUUUUUGGGGGAGGAAAGCUUACACGUCAACCCAGAGAGAAAACAACUCAAAGCAAAAUAUGGAAGAGGCUAAAACCAGCACUGAUGCUGAAGACAAGGGAAUUAUAUAUAAGGUGGGAUUCAGCAUGCCUGACCUCGCAGACGUGAACAGUCCACCUAGCAGUCCAGAUAACAUCUAUGUUACCAUGCAUGGUUUGCCAUUCGCACCAGAUGUUCCUGCCACAGCUGGACGCAACAGACGUCUUCCCUCUGAUUGGCAGCUGAAGGAUGAGGAACCCGUAUUUGUCCGCUGAUACCAAGAUUUAUUAGUCAGAUCAUGCCACUUGAAAGAUGAGACACAGAAUAAGUGAUUAUUUAAAUUAGUGAGAGUAAGUAUUGUCAGAUAUGCAUUAUAUAGUCCCAAAACAGACUGUUUUGUGUAUUAUUUUUCAAUACUCACCAGCUGUACAUCACUGUACAUUAUCCCUCAUAAUAAAUCUGUUAUUUCCUCAUGCACCUCUUUCAUCAUCUACCAGAUGUCAACAGUGGUCAAUAUAGUUUAGUUACUGCACUUCUUGUGAGCUUCAGCCCUCGACUUUUUCCUAUCUUCUCAAUGACUUCUCAUCAGCAUGAAAUUGCCAAUUCUUCUAACUGUCUCUCUGUCUCUGAAGAGGCAAACAAAAUUGCCCUGCAGUGGAGAAGUGGUUUUAGCAUUACACACUUAAUUAUUCAUGCCAACUGUCCUUUGAGAUUUAAGGAAUCACAGAUCACGAGUUUUGUAAAUCACAAUA